GCCCAAUUGAUUGAUGGGUGCUUGCACCUGAUUGAUUUUGGUCGCCAACGAGUGGCGGACGGGUGAGUAACACGUAGGUAACCUGCCCAGAAGCGGGGGACAACAUUUGGAAACAGAUGCUAAUACCGCAUAACAGCGUUGUUCGCAUGAACAACGCUUAAAAGAUGGCUUCUCGCUAUCACUUCUGGAUGGACCUGCGGUGCAUUAGCUUGUUGGUGGGGUAACGGCCUACCAAGGCGAUGAUGCAUAGCCGAGUUGAGAGACUGAUCGGCCACAAUGGGACUGAGACACGGCCCAUACUCCUACGGGAGGCAGCAGUAGGGAAUCUUCCACAAUGGGCGCAAGCCUGAUGGAGCAACACCGCGUGAGUGAAGAAGGGUUUCGGCUCGUAAAGCUCUGUUGUUAAAGAAGAACACGUAUGAGAGUAACUGUUCAUACGUUGACGGUAUUUAACCAGAAAGUCACGGCUAACUACGUGCCAGCAGCCGCGGUAAUACGUAGGUGGCAAGCGUUAUCCGGAUUUAUUGGGCGUAAAGAGAGUGCAGGCGGUUUUCUAAGUCUGAUGUGAAAGCCUUCGGCUUAACCGGAGAAGUGCAUCGGAAACUGGAUAACUUGAGUGCAGAAGAGGGUAGUGGAACUCCAUGUGUAGCGGUGGAAUGCGUAGAUAUAUGGAAGAACACCAGUGGCGAAGGCGGCUACCUGGUCUGCAACUGACGCUGAGACUCGAAAGCAUGGGUAGCGAACAGGAUUAGAUACCCUGGUAGUCCAUGCCGUAAACGAUGAGUGCUAGGUGUUGGAGGGUUUCCGCCCUUCAGUGCCGGAGCUAACGCAUUAAGCACUCCGCCUGGGGAGUACGACCGCAAGGUUGAAACUCAAAGGAAUUGACGGGGGCCCGCACAAGCGGUGGAGCAUGUGGUUUAAUUCGAAGCUACGCGAAGAACCUUACCAGGUCUUGACAUCUUGCGCCACCCUAGAGAUAGGGCGUUUCCUUCGGGAACGCAUGACAGGUGGGGCAUGGUCGUCGUCAACUCGGGUCGUGAGAUGUUGGGUUAAUCCCGCAACGACGCACCCUUGUUCUAUUGCCACAUUAAUUGGGCCUCUAGGGAAAUGCCGGGACAACCGGAGGAGGGGGGACAACUCAAACUCCUGCCCUUUUACCGGGUUACACGGGCUAAUGGGAGGGAAAAAAAAUCCGAACCCCGGGGGAGAAAAUCUUUAAAACGUUCUUUGGGGGGGGGGGGAACCCCGCGCAAAGAAACAUUAAAAGGGAGAAAGCGGGGAAAUC
This 1285-nucleotide ribosomal RNA is filed under the name Limosilactobacillus fermentum. Its description in RNAcentral is "bacterial SSU rRNA". It matches the Rfam family "Bacterial small subunit ribosomal RNA", at positions 46 to 1359 of the family's 1533-position model. The record is from RNAcentral. Lineage: Bacteria; Bacillati; Bacillota; Bacilli; Lactobacillales; Lactobacillaceae.